This 253-nucleotide ribosomal RNA is filed under the name uncultured bacterium. Its description in RNAcentral is "partial 16S ribosomal RNA". It matches the Rfam family "Bacterial small subunit ribosomal RNA", at positions 524 to 776 of the family's 1533-position model. The record is from RNAcentral.
UACGGAGGGGGCUAGCGUUGUUCGGAAUUACUGGGCGUAAAGCGCACGUAGGCGGAUGUGUCAGUCAGGGGUGAAAUCCCGGAGCUCAACUUCGGAACUGCCUUUGAUACAGCACGUCUUGAGUCCGGAAGAGGUGGGUGGAAUUCCUAGUGUAGAGGUGAAAUUCGUAGAUAUUAGGAAGAACACCGGUGGCGAAGGCGGCAUCCUGGACCGGCAUUGACGCUGAGGCGCGAAAGCCAGGGGAGCAAACGGG